This 380-nucleotide ribosomal RNA is filed under the name uncultured soil bacterium. Its description in RNAcentral is "bacterial SSU rRNA". It matches the Rfam family "Bacterial small subunit ribosomal RNA", at positions 26 to 402 of the family's 1533-position model. The record is from RNAcentral.
AGAUUGAACGCUAGCGGGAUGCUUUACACAUGCAAGUCGAACGGCAGCGCGGACUUCGGUCUGGCGGCGAGUGGCGAACGGGUGAGUAAUAUAUCGGAACGUGCCCAGUAGCGGGGGAUAACUACGCGAAAGCGUGGCUAAUACCGCAUACGCCCUACGGGGGAAAGGGGGGAUUCUUCGGAACCUCUCACUAUUGGAGCGGCCGAUAUCAGAUUAGGUUGUUGGUGAGGUAAAAGCUCACCAAGCCGACGAUCUGUAGCUGGUUUGAGAGAACGACCAGCCACACUGGGACUGAGACACGGCUCAGACUCCUACGGGAGGCAGCAGUGGGGAAUUUUGGACAAGUGGGACGAAAGCCUGAACUCCAGCAAUCGCCGCGU